AACGAACGCUGGCGGCAGGCUUAACACAUGCAAGUCGAACGCCCCGCAAGGGGAGUGGCAGACGGGUGAGUAACGCGUGGGAAUCUACCGUACCCUACGGAAUAACGCAUGGAAACGUGUGCUAAUACCGUAUACGCCCUUCGGGGGAAAGAUUUAUCGGGGUAUGAUGAGCCCGCGUUGGAUUAGCUAGUUGGUGGGGUAAAGGCCUACCAAGGCGACGAUCCAUAGCUGGUCUGAGAGGAUGAUCAGCCACAUUGGGACUGAGACACGGCCCAAACUCCUACGGGAGGCAGCAGUGGGGAAUAUUGGACAAUGGGCGCAAGCCUGAUCCAGCCAUGCCGCGUGAGUGAUGAAGGUCUUAGGAUUGUAAAGCUCUUUCACCGAUGAAGAUAAUGACGGUAGUCGGAGAAGAAGCCCCGGCUAACUUCGUGCCAGCAGCCGCGGUAAUACGAAGGGGGCUAGCGUUGUUCGGAAUUACUGGGCGUAAAGCGCACGUAGGCGGAUAUUUAAGUCAGGGGUGAAAUCCCGCAGCUCAACUGCGGAACUGCCUUUGAUACUGGGUAUCUCGAGUAUGGAAGAGGUGAGUGGAAUUCCGAGUGUAGAGGUGAAAUUCGUAGAUAUUCGGAGGAACACCAGUGGCGAAGGCGGCUCACUGGUCCAUUACUGACGCUGAGGUGCGAAAGCGUGGGGAGCAAACA
Molecule: ribosomal RNA, 698 nt
Filed under: Rhizobium sp. enrichment culture
Lineage: Bacteria; Pseudomonadati; Pseudomonadota; Alphaproteobacteria; Hyphomicrobiales; Rhizobiaceae
Description: bacterial SSU rRNA
Rfam family: Bacterial small subunit ribosomal RNA
Source: RNAcentral